RNAcentral lists this ribosomal RNA (476 nucleotides) under Bacillus sp. EF65. Its description in RNAcentral is "bacterial SSU rRNA". It matches the Rfam family "Bacterial small subunit ribosomal RNA", at positions 8 to 478 of the family's 1533-position model. Lineage: Bacteria; Bacillati; Bacillota; Bacilli; Caryophanales; Bacillaceae. The record is from RNAcentral.
AGAGUUUGAUCCUGGCUCAGGACGAACGCUGGCGGCGUGCCUAAUACAUGCAAGUCGAGCGAAUCGACGGGAGCUUGCUCCCUGAGAUUAGCGGCGGACGGGUGAGUAACACGUGGGCAACCUGCCUAUAAGACUGGGAUAACUUCGGGAAACCGGAGCUAAUACCGGAUACGUUCUUUUCUCGCAUGAGAGAAGAUGGAAAGACGGUUUACGCUGUCACUUAUAGAUGGGCCCGCGGCGCAUUAGCUAGUUGGUGAGGUAAUGGCUCACCAAGGCGACGAUGCGUAGCCGACCUGAGAGGGUGAUCGGCCACACUGGGACUGAGACACGGCCCAGACUCCUACGGGAGGCAGCAGUAGGGAAUCUUCCGCAAUGGACGAAAGUCUGACGGAGCAACGCCGCGUGAACGAAGAAGGCCUUCGGGUCGUAAAGUUCUGUUGUUAGGGAAGAACAAGUACCAGAGUAACUGCUGGUAC